This 440-nucleotide ribosomal RNA is filed under the name uncultured bacterium. RNAcentral describes it as "partial 16S ribosomal RNA". It matches the Rfam family "Bacterial small subunit ribosomal RNA", at positions 338 to 795 of the family's 1533-position model. The record is from RNAcentral.
CCUACGGGAGGCAGCAGUGGGGAAUAUUGCACAAUGGGGGAAACCCUGAUGCAGCGACGCCGCGUGAGUGAAGAAGUAUUUCGGUAUGUAAAGCUCUAUCAGCAGGGAAGAAAUUGUCGCUACCUGGUUAGCAGACGCCAGCUAACUACGUGCCAGCAGCCGCCGUAGUACGUAGGGGGCAAGCGUUAUCCGGAUUUACUGCGUGUAAAGGGAGCGUAGACGGCAGCACAAGUCUGGAGUGAAAUGCCGGGGCUUAACCAUGGAACUGCUUUGGAAACUGUGCAGCUAGAGUGCAGGAGAGGUAAGCGGAAUUCCUAGUGUAGCGGUGAAAUGCGUAGAUAUUAGGAGGAACACCAGUGGCGAAGGCGGCUUACUGGACUGUAACUGACGUUGAGGCUCGAAAGCGUGGGGAGCAAACAGGAUUAGAUACCCGUGUAGUC